ACAUGUGGGAGUCAUAUACCCCCCAGGGGUGACCAUCGUUUCUCACCAAGUUCACUUCAGCUGCAGACAAAUGGCGCAAUGAUUCAAAGAGGGCACGUUGACACAGCCAGGGACUCACGCGCAAUAACAUGCACGCGCGGCCCGCCCGACACAGUGAGCCUUCACUCUCUGCUCAGGGGUCUUUGAAUCAUGGGAGUUGUUGUCUUCAUCACCAUUGCCAUCAUUGCAGUCCGCUUCUACCGGUCCGGAUUCCUUCAUCGUUCAUCGUUCAGGAGGUUUUUACCAGGAGCCGAAUAAUCCACAGAGGUCUCCUCCUCUCCAAAACAAACAGACCAGGAGACCAGACGAAACGCAUCGUUACCCGGAUUACAAUGGCACAUUUCUCUGGGUUUGAAAAUUGUUGGAAAUAUUUGGCAUAAUGUUAGUACACAGCUCAUCACAAUAUAUAAAUUAGAGAUAUUAAUUGUUUUUACACAUGAAUGUAACAUAUUUGACUUAUAAUUAGCUGACAACACUUACUUUUAGUAAAGUAAAAUAUUAAUGCAGGUCACCUUUUUACUGGGGUAUUUCUACAAUGUGUUAUUACUUUUACUUACUAUAUCCCAUACCCUAUUCUGUAUUCUCUGUUUUGGAUAUCUGUGUUUUGUUCUGUGUAUUGUGUGUCUUUUUGAAAGUAUGUUAUGUAUAUAUUUUACGAUUAAUUUACGUAUCCAAACUUGCAAAACAAAUUGGGAAUUGAAUCACUUUCUGCAUCCAUGGCAGCUGUACACAUGACAUGCGUUAGUGAUGCCUCAUCUUCACAGGCCACCAGGCUGACAUUCUAUUGCCAAAGGCUAAUUAGAAAAAGUGCUGUGACUAAUUUAAGUAAAGUUGUUUUCCAAAGAUGGAGGUGGUAGGAUACAGUAUCUAGUCCUUAGAAGCUAAAAUAUUAAAUUAAGAACUCUGAUCAAAAUUGCGCAUCAGCAGGCUGGACCUCACUCAUGAAAUGUUAGACAAAUGACAGAUUCAAGACGAUAGAAGUUACAUGAAGCUAAUGUGUUGGGUGAUAAAAUGUUUUCCACACAAAGAGGGGAAAUAUCACAAACUGCCUGAUGGCUACUUAAAGCGGCUAAUUUAGGGUCAGAGCAUAAUUUAAGGGUUACAAUUAGGAUUAUGUUUAGGUUAGUGUGAGUUAAGAUUAAAGGUUAAGGAAUUAAGAUACUCAGUAAAGGCCCUCACACACACUGCAAUAUGUAUAUGUCUGUGUGUGUGAGCGGGUGAUGGAGGGUAGAGAUGGGCUUAGGAUGUUGGGGGUGGGGUAUUGGUGAUGAAUGAUUACAAACAAAGCCUCUUGAGCUGAUAAAGUGAAGGCACAAAAGAAGUGGGUCACAGCCUGCUGGUCCACUGUCGCCUAGCUUCGGGGGCCGAGGGGCCACGCACUACCUAAAGGGUGAUUUCCUCAGUGCACAUCAAAACCUCGCUGCUUUGAUAAACCGCUAAGCUGAAUGCAUUUAGCAGCCCCCAUCAUCCUUAUUAGUGUAAUGGUGCUGAGUUGAUUAAAAAAUACAAGGAAAAAACAACAAGAAGCUUUGUACUAUAUAAAGUAUUACACACUAUAUUACAGCCAGUGACUUAUACGUUAUUAUUAAAAGGAUUUAUGAUGACCACAGCAGAAAUAAACCAGGUUGAACCACAAACAACUUUAUUUCUCAACCUUGGUUACCGAUGUUGUGCUUUUCAUCCUCACAAGUAUCCUGUUCUGUUGCUUUAUAUGUAUUAUAUAACUUUAAUUUCAUUUAAUUGAUCCUUCUUAUUCUUGUGUCGUGUUAUUUCGUUUAUUCUUGAAAAUGAAUAAUAAAAACAUAAGAAACAAUAUGUAAUGGAACAUACGAUUGUUUGGUAAAUAAAAUAAAUGUUUGACACUGUUGGAAAUGUAGCUUAUAAUCAUUAGUGUUAAUAAAUAGACAGUCCAGCACAUUGCCUUGCAUCUUUGUAUUGAGAGAAA
Long non-coding RNA from Cottoperca gobio, 1984 nucleotides. NCBI's taxonomy places the organism in Eukaryota, Metazoa, Chordata, Actinopteri, Perciformes, Bovichtidae. The record is from Ensembl.